AUUGAACGCUGGCGGAAUGCUUUACACAUGCAAGUCGAACGGCAGCACGGACUUCGGUCUGGUGGCGAGUGGCGAACGGGUGAGUAACAUAUCGGAACGUAUCCAAUAAUGGGGGAUAACGAGUCGAAAGAUUCGCUAAUACCGCGUACGCCCUACGGGGGAAAGCUGGGGACCUUCGGGCCUGGCGUUAAUGGAGCGGCCGAUAUCUGAUUAGCUAGUUGGUGAGGUAAAGGCUCACCAAGGCGACGAUCAGUAGCUGGUCUGAGAGGACGACCAGCCACACGGGAACUGAGACACGGUCCAGACUCCUACGGGAGGGAGCAGUGGGGAAUUUUGGACAAUGGGCGCAAGCCUGAUCCAGCCAUUCCGCGUGAGUGAAGAAGGCCUUCGGGUUGUAAAGCUCUUUCGCAAGGGAAGAAAACUUAGCCACUAACAUUGGUUGAGGUUGACGGUACCUUGAUAAGAAGCACCGGCUAACUACGUGCCAGCCGCCGCCGUAA
This 500-nucleotide ribosomal RNA is filed under the name uncultured bacterium. RNAcentral describes it as "partial 16S ribosomal RNA". It matches the Rfam family "Bacterial small subunit ribosomal RNA", at positions 30 to 523 of the family's 1533-position model. The record is from RNAcentral.